Long non-coding RNA from Protopterus annectens (West African lungfish), 780 nucleotides. RefSeq lists it as uncharacterized. NCBI's taxonomy places the organism in Eukaryota, Metazoa, Chordata, Ceratodontiformes, Protopteridae. The transcript has 3 exons. The record is from RefSeq and is a predicted model, not a curated record.
GACACACUGCUCUGCUGCAUCAAUCCCAACCUUGGAAACUGGAAAAGUGUCUCCCAGAGGACACUGUGAAUUUCUGCCCCAUAGUCUCCCUUGGGAUCUCGCCUGGGUGGACCUAUACAUACUACCAAGGUCACCUACUCCAUCCUCAGUUGUACUUAAGAGACACACUGCUCUGCUGCAUCAAUCCCAACCUUGGAAACUGGAAAAGUGUCUCCCAGAGGACACUGUGAAUUUCUGCCCCAUAGUCUCCCUUGGGAUCUCGCCUGGGUGGACCUAUACAUACUACCAAGGUCACCUACUCCAUCCUCAGUUGUACUUAAGAGACACACUGCUCUGCUGCAUCAAUCCCAACCUUGGAAACUGGAAAAGUGUCUCCCAGAGGACACUGUGAAUGUAUGUACAUCUGCUGCCACUUGUUCUACCAUUGUAACUCCUGCUAUAUGAUACCAUUGUAAGCUAUCUCCCAGUCAGGUCAGCCAGCAGCCUAAACACUUUUCAUUUUCUUCCUCUCAUCUUUAACUGAGUUCUUUCCCUGCUCCUCUUUACUUCAUCCUACCUAGUCCAAGACCUUCCUAGUUGACCCAGUGCAACUCUCCACUAGGCCACUAGAGGGCGGCCCCUCCCUACUAUACACUACUGUUCCUCACUCAUUCUCUACUCAAUCUCACUUUUGUCCCCUCUACCUCUUAGGUACAGGAACCCUGCUUACCCUGCUACUACUUACUCUCCUGUAUCCUAUGCUCCACUGAUUGACUCUCGGUCCUCUCCUGGUCUUCUACA